Molecule: ribosomal RNA, 372 nt
Filed under: uncultured organism
Description: bacterial SSU rRNA
Rfam family: Bacterial small subunit ribosomal RNA
Source: RNAcentral
CGAGUGCCCCGAGCGUUAUCCGGAAUCAUUGGGCGUAAAGGGUGUGUAGGCGGUUGUGUUAGUCUUUUGUUAAGUUCUUCGGCUUAACCGGGGACCUGCGAAGGAAACGGCACAACUAGAGGAUGCGAGAGGUGAAUGGAACUCAUGGAGUAGGGGUGAAAUCCGUUGAUAUCAUGGGGAACACCAAAAGCGAAGGCAAUUCACUGGCGCACUCCUGACGCUGAGACACGAAAGCGUAGGUAGCGAAUGGGAUUAGAUACCCCAGUAGUCUACGCCCUAAACGAUGAUCGCUAGUUUUUCGGAGUAUCGACCCUCUGAGAGACGAAGCUAACGCAUUAAGCGAUCCGCCUGGGUAGUACGGCCGCAAGGCUA